RNAcentral lists this long non-coding RNA (767 nucleotides) under Chinchilla lanigera (long-tailed chinchilla). RNAcentral's name for it is "lncRNA (ENSCLAG00000025210.1)". Lineage: Eukaryota; Metazoa; Chordata; Mammalia; Rodentia; Chinchillidae. The record is from RNAcentral.
UGAGCUGGAAGUGGCGUGUGGACACAAUCUCCAUUUAUAAAGGCAGAGAGUGGGAUCACGAGCCUCAGCUAACCUGAGAUGGACAACAGGGACCUGUGGAUCCAGCUACCUAAAUUUGUUUGUAAAGAGGUUUGUGGCACGAUUAGUUCCAAUCAUUUCAUUUACAGUGCAAGGCAGUUGUCAAAGCUCUGAUUUGUACCUGAAGGGACACAAUUCUGCUGGUAAAGGUCUGAUUUUCUUUGAAAAAUACUAUGGAAGGAAGAAAAGUAAGAUCAUCAGCUUGAUUGUGAUCUUUUGUCACACACGGUCUGAGCUUCCGGUUACAGAAGACAUUACCCAACUGGAAGAACGGGUGGAAGAAGCUCUGGACUCACAGACACACAGUGACUUUAGGAGGGAGUUGCAAGGAAGGUUUCAGAGUGCCAAGCGUACCCUUGGCAUCGACUGUCGUGGCAGGGUAUACGCCUCCAGGAACAGUGGAGCUUACCAAACGGCAUGUGGACCGAAGCUGCCUUUGAAAAUGACAAACUAGAACACAUCUUUCACUUGACUUGAAGUUCAUAGUGCAGUAUUUCCACAGUGUUGCCCUUUUUUCAAAUGCAUGAAACAAAUUCCAUACGAAAAGUCUUCCAGAGCAUGUUUGUGGCCAACAGUAACUCAUGCUGUGUUAUAACUACAUUUAACACACAUGUUAACCUAACACGUAAGAAAGUCUGAAGACAGAAAUUCUCCAUUCUGCUAGAGGGCUUCUAGUGAUAAAUAAAAUA